RNAcentral lists this long non-coding RNA (5355 nucleotides) under Solanum tuberosum (potato). Its description in RNAcentral is "long non-coding RNA (STUB_LNC006313)". The record is from RNAcentral. Lineage: Eukaryota; Viridiplantae; Streptophyta; Magnoliopsida; Solanales; Solanaceae.
UUAGAUAUGAACUUGAAUUGAAAACUUGAACUUAUUAAAACUUGAAUAUAUAUAUAUAACUAAUAUUCUUGGAUUUGAAGUUUAUAUUUCACUAAUUUUAGAACUUUUUGUGCUAAGCAACUGAGAAAGCUCAACAUCUAAAAAAGUUGAUACAAGACUAUAUUGCUUCUUUCAUCAAAGUAGGAGAUAAGGUUGGUGCUUCUAAAUUUCUAAAGUUCAAGUACAAUUAUUUUCAAUAAUGUGUUUGUGUCCAUCUAGUAUUGAUACUUAGCUUUACUUCUAGUGAUUAUUUUUUUGUUUCCAUCGAUUGUUUGUUAAGCAUAAGUACCAACACUAGUUGAUCCUAUUGAUGACAAAAUUGAUUUUCUUGCAAGAUCGAUUUGUGUCCAUCUAGUGUUGACACUUAGCUUUAAAUUUAGAAAUAAUAUAUUUGUUAAGCAUGAGUACCAACACUAGUUGAUCCUAUUGAUGACAAAAUUGAUUUUCUUGCAAGAUCGAUUUGUGUCCAUCUAGUGUUGACACUUAGCUUUAAAUUUAGAAAUAAUAUAUUUGUUAAGCAUGAGUACCAACACUAGUUGAUCCUAUUGAUGACAAAAUUGAUUUUCUUGCAAGAUCGAUUUGUGUCCAUCUAGUGUUGACACUUAGCUUUAAAUUUAGAAAUAAUAUAUUUGUUAAGCAUGAGUAUCGAUUUGUGUCCAUCUAGUUUUGACACUUGACUUUAAAUUUAGAAAUAAUAUAUUUGNNNNNNNNNNNNNNNNNNNNNNNNNNNNNNNNNNNNNNNNNNNNNNNNNNNNNNNNNNNNNNNNNNNNNNNNNNNNNNNNNNNNNNNNNNNNNNNNNNNNUUUCAUGAUGAGCCUAGGAGCCUAUGUGAAUGUAAAACCUUAAAGCGGUAGACCUAAUGGUGGGUGCCUUCUUCUUGUAUGAAAUGAUAGACUUAGAGACCGGUAGACCCAAAGGUGGUGCCCCUCUCUAGGAAAGUCAAUGAGCUAUCCUUAAUGAACCUUGAUCGGUAGAUCUUUGUGGUGCCUUUCUUGGUAGAUGUGUUAUGGGUCGGUAGACCUAAUGAUGGUGCCCCAUCUAGUACACACAUGUGAAUGAAAGUACUCUAUGGGAACUAAGGCUAAGCACCGAGUGGAUAUGGUUAAGAUGGUAGCUCUUCGCGAGUAUGAGGCGAGAGUACAAUGAACAUCUUUGCAUAUCCCCUAAACCAUGUGCCUACAUGGGAUGUGUCCUAGUUCUACCCUUGGCAAGUAAAACACCUUCCACGGUGUAGGGUUUUAUGACACCGGAUUCCAUGUCUAGCUUGCAUGGUCUAUGUCGGUUAAUGCCUAUUCCCAUCAUGUGGGAUGUGCACUCUAGUUAUUGGAUAGGUUCUACAACGUGUAGGUAGUAGUAUGGGAUGCUAUCUACACAUGGCCCAAGUAGGCUUUGAAGAUGCUAAAGUGAGUUCCCUAAGCCUUAAUGACUAAUGUUUGAAACUCCUCUAAAUGCAUGAAUGUGUCCUAAAUAUCUCUCAUGAAGAAUGUUGGCUCCUAAUUGCUUAGAACGUGAAGAUGCAUGCUAUGUUUGACUUGUAUUAUGAAUGUAGACUUAUUGAUAUUAUGUUGAAAUAGAAAGGUCCUUAUCUAUGGUAGCCUUGAGGAACACUUAGGUGUGUAUGAAGAGGUUGUAUGGGCGGCCACUUCAUGUCUCACUUAGGUGUAUCUUAGGGUAACUUUAGAUAGAGGUUCUAAGAUGAUGAAAUGACUUAUUUGAUGAAUAUGUUCAUGUGCUGUAUGUUGGUACUAAUUGAGCAUGAUAACUUGUAAUAUGAAGCAUGAUAAGUGGUAAAUUCACUUUUGGUGACCUUAAGGUGAUGCUUUAGUGUGGAUGGUGGUAUGGAACGCUAUCCAUACAUUGCACCAAGUGUUGUCUAAGGGUUACUUGAGGUGGAUGUUUAAAGGUAAAGGUAAUUGGGCUUAUAUGUGUUGAGCAUGUCUAUAUGGUGAUAAAGGACUUGUAUGUUGGUGAUGGUUGAUUGUUGUGACUCUUGUACUUGUGUUCAUGAAGUUUUACUAAAAUGGCAUAAGGUAUGACUUUCAACCAAAUGUCCUUUUUAGCAUGUUUUUGCAUGGUUUCCAUACUUAGUACUUAAUUGUGCUAACCCCUUUCUUUCCCUUUUGACUAAAGUGUAGGGAUUUGGAGAUGUUGAUAUUCCAUGGUUGAUGGAUAGGUUUCUAAGGUGUUUGAAGAUGAAGACUUGGUGAGUCCUCAUAGAUUCGAGGACAAUACCCUACAUGUUCCUUUAUGUCUUGUAGUUUUGUUAUAGUUUUGAGUGGGCUUAGUCCCAAAUGUUGUAUUCAAGUAUUAGAUGGUUUUGAGACAUCAUGUAUAAAGUCUAGAAAGUCUUUCGCUUGUUAUUUAAUGAAAGUAUCUUUGUGUGUGAAGAAAGUUUUUAAUUCCUUAUGGUUUUUAGUGUCUAUGCGAUGAAUGAUUGCUAAGAGGCUUGUAUUAGACCUACAAGAGGUCGAGUACGCCGAUUACGACUAGGGGGUGCUCUCGGGUCGUGACACUUGAACUCUUGGGUUUCGAGAUUACUACUCAGGGAAAAAGAUAUAAUAAUUAUUGAUUUGAAUCUUGAUCUUGAAUAUUAUCUGAUAUAUAUUUUUAUGGUUAUUAGUCAUAAGUAAAGUUUAUUUGAGUUCGAUUUGUAAAGCAAUGAUAGUUGAUGGCUAGGUCGUUUCAAAUGUUUGCACUUGUGUGUUUAGAGCCUAAUGUUCUGAAAACAAAUAAGUGUAUCAAAUAGCCCAGUUGAAGCUUCAUUCUUGAUCUUAGAGUUAUAUUUGUACAACAUUUUAGUGAAGUUAAUGGCUAUGUGGUUUCAGAUCAUUAGCACAUGAUUGAAGCCCUACUCUUGCUCUCUUCGAAUUUGGAAUUUUAUAUUAGAGGACUUAUGUGGUUUUCAUUUGCAUUGUGCCAAUCUGCUGAGGGAGGGUCGAUGUUGUGGCUUUCUUUUGUUGUCUCCUUUAUUUGUCGCUGGACUUGGUCUUCUUACCUUUUAUGUCAUCAUGGUAAGAAGACCAAGUAAUGUACAAAACACAAUGUUGCCCUUUUACCUUUUAUGCCAUCACUGGACUUGGUCUUCUUACCUUUGAUCAAAUGGUUUGUUACAUUCAUAUCCGUGUUGCCCUUUUUUACAUUCAUAAACCAAGUAGUUUUAUAUCUCAAAUAACUCAUAAUUUCUUAUAAGCAAACCUGUUUUUCUUAUUGAUAUUAUUUUAAAGUGAAAAGGAUAUGAUUGUCAAGUAACUUUCAUUUGAAAUUUUCAUGGUGCAAGGACUUGGAUGACCACUAAAGAAAUUUUCAAUUGUUUCUUUUCUUGCUAGGCAACUGAGGAAGCUCAACAUCUAAAAAAAUGGAUACAAGACUAUACUACUUCUUUCAUCAAAGUAAGAGAUAAGGUUUGGUGUUUCUAAAUUACUAAAGUUCAAGUACAAUUUUUUUUAUAAUGUGUUUGUGUCCAUCUAGUAUUGAUACUUAGCUUUAAUUUUGUAAUAAUUUGUUUGUGUCCAUCGAGUGUUUGUUUAGCAUAAGUACCAACACUAGUUGAUUCUAUUGAUAACAAAAUUGAUUUUCUUGCAAGAUCGAUUUAUGUCCAUCUAGUUUAAAUUUAGAAAUAAUAUAUUUGUUAAGCAUGAGUACCAACACUAGUUGAUCCUAUUGAUGACAAAAUUGAUUUUCUUGCAAGAUCGAUUUGUGUCCAUCUAGUGUUGACACUUAGCUUUAAAUUUAGAAAUAAUAUAUUUGUUAAGCAUGAGUACCAACACUAGUUGAUCCUAUUGAUGACAAAAUUGAUUUUCUUGCAAGAUCGAUUUGUGUCCAUCUAGUGUUGACACUUAGCUUUAAAUUUAGUUUUGACUUGUUUAGUUGUUGCAAUUAAAAUAAGUUCAAAUGAAGUUUAAUUAACCUCUAGCUAGUUUGACUCAUUAUUUAAAAUAAUGUGGUUUAGUUGGUGGAUUUAGUGUUGUAUUAAGUCAAAACUAAACUAGUUAAAGAGUUAAAGUUGUUUAAAUAAGUUAAAUUAAUUAAUGUGGUUUAGUUGGUGGAUUUAGUGUUGUAUUAAGUCAAAACUAAACUAGUUAAAGAGUUAAAGUUGUUUAAAUAAGUUAAAUUAAUUAAUGUGGUUUAGUUGGUGGAUUUAGUGUUGUAUUAAGUCAAAACUAAACUAGUUAAAGAGUUAAAGUUGUUUAAAUAAGUUAAAUUAAUUCAUUAAAGUUGUUUAGUUGUUUAAAUAAGUUCAAAUAAAUAAUGUGGUUUAGUUGGUGGAUUUAGUUUGUGGAAUUAAGUCAAAACUAGUUAGAGUUAAAGUUUUUUGGCUAUUUAAAUAAGUUCAAAUAAAUAACUUGGUUUAGUUGGUGGAUUUAGUUGUUGGAAUUCAGUCAAAACUAAUUAGAGUUAAAGUUGUUUAAAUAAGUUCAAAUAAGUAAUGUGAUUUAGUUGGUGGAUUUAAUUGUUGGAAUUAAGUCAAAACUAGUUAGAGUUAAACAUGUUUGGUUGUUUAAAAAAGUUCAAAUAAAUAAUGUGGUUUAGUUGGGGGAUUUAGUUGUUGGAAUUAAGGCAAAACUGGUUUGAGUUAAUAUUGUAAGUUCAAAUAAAUAAUGUGGUUUAGUUGGUGGAUUUAGUUGUUGGAAUUAAGUCAGAACUAUUUAGAGUUAAAAAAGUUGUUUAGUUGAAAUAAGUUCAAAUAAAUAAUGUGGUUUAGUUGUUGGAAUUAAGUCAAAACUACUUAGAGUUAAAAAGUUGCUUAGUUUUUGGAAUUAAGUCAAAACUAAUUAGAGUUAAAGUUGUUUAGUUGUUUAAAUAAGUUUAAUUAAAUAAUGUGGUUUAGUUGGCGGAUUUAGUUAUUGGAAUUAAGUCAAAAUUAGUUAGAUUUAAAGUUGUUUAAAUAAGUUCAAAUAAAUAAUGUGGUUUAGUUGGUGGAUUUAGUUGGUGGAAUUAAAUAAAAAAUAGUUAGAGUUAAAGUUGUUUAAAUAAGUUCAAAUAAAUGAUGUGGUUUAGUUGGUGGAUCCCGUUGUUGGAAUUAAGUCAGAACUAUUUAGAGUUAAAAAAGUUGUUUAGUUGAAAUAAGUUCAAAUAAAUGAUGUGGUUUAGUUGGUGGGUUUAGUUGAUGGAAUUAAUUCAAAACUAGUUAGAGUUUUUUUUGUUUUUUCAAACUAGUUAGAGUUAAUGUUGUUUAGUUGUUGAAAUAAUUUCAAAUAAAGUUUAAUUAACCCCUAGCUAGUUUGAUUCAUUAUUUGAGAUAAGAGGUAUGAGAUGCUUUAGGCCAAACUAACUUUUCUUUUUGAAUCAGGAAAAAUUCUUCCUCCAUGUCCGGCC